CCUGCCCACGAGGGUGGAGCGUUGGGUGCUCACAGCCCACACCGGUGUGCUGCUCAUUGGUGCCGGUAUGCACUGAGUACUAACGCUCACACGAUCGACCGCGCUGCACUCGUCAGUCUGCCGGUGACCCAGCUGGGGCGCUGGUGGCUGCUGCUCGUGGCUCGUGGGGUAAAAAAGCUACCAGACACCUUCAGCUUCAGCAAACCUACCAGAACACCCUCAAAACAUUUGGAGAGUUCUCGGCGACAUGAUGAGCUUUCGGUCCGGUAUACCAAGAAGCGCGAGGGGAUUCUUCUUUUGGAUUGCAACUGCCGUGCUCCUGAUGGUGGGAAGUCUGCAGAUUUAUCAGUCACAACGGUACUUCAGAAACUUCGGCCCGCUGUUUGUCAACUGCAGUCAUCGCUACUGUCUUCCUUCUGGCCUUUAUGGCCAGGUGUCGUUGGGCGUUUCGGGUCAGAAGGCGUUUAACGGUGUGCCAGCAGGUAACGUACCGCACGGUUCGCGGGUUUACCAAGUCAGGAGACCAUUUACGGUGCACCAGCACGUAAUAUGUGGACCGCGUAUUGGACUGGCCACGCUAACAGCUGAGGCAGCAACAUUUAGUUCAUUUGCUUCGAAUAGUGUUCUGGAAGUACACCUAUCAUUGCGUUAAAGUACACAUAAUAUCGUUCGGGAUGUUUCCCAUGAAGUUCGGAAUCAGCAUUAGCGUAAAUGCGUGCAAAGCGUUGCAUAUGCCGCAGUGUUAUGUCAUGGCACGAAAUGAAGAUACAAAUAUAUUUGUCACAUUA
Amphibalanus amphitrite is the source of this 788-nucleotide long non-coding RNA. RefSeq lists it as uncharacterized. Lineage: Eukaryota; Metazoa; Arthropoda; Thecostraca; Balanomorpha; Balanidae. The transcript is spliced from 3 exons. The record is from RefSeq and is a predicted model, not a curated record.